CCAAACCAAAAAAGACCUCAACGAGCCAGAAGCCCCUGAGGAAGGCCAAAGACAAGCAGGUGGCGUCGGGCCAGGCCGCCAAGAAAAAGACCACAGAGAGCCCCAGUGCCACCAAACCUGACGACAAGGAGCAAAGCAAAGAGAUGAACAAUAAACUGGCUGAGGCGAAAGAGUAAAUGUCCCCGCACUUUCCUUUUCUCCCCUCCCCACCCCUAUGUUUAAACCAACAAACAAAAAAAGGCCACAAAACUAAUUAGAGACUUCCCAUCUGCCUUGGUUCCAAGUGUCCCAGGAGCCCUGCAGUUGGUUUCUUAUGGGAGAAAUCAUGUUUCUGAGGCCACUGACUCUUACUACAAGUGGCACAGCAUCUAGCCAAGGUCCCCCAGGAGGCCAGGAAGCAGUGUGCACUGGUUGUGCCCUUCCUGUGGGUCUGGGUUGGGUCAGGUCUUAGUUCUGCCAAGCCUAGCUCCUGGUGGGACUUGGAGGAGUUUCAAGCCCUCUUCCCCCUAGCUUCCCCCCUUCCCCAGUUUGCAUCACGCCAUUUUGGACUUUAGGCAAAUUUUCUUUCCCAAGUUCACUGGAUGCUUGCAUGCUGCCCAAGUUCAGCUUGGGUUUCAGCCGUUAGAACUUGUGGAAAUGGUAAAGACAAUAGAACAAGAAACCAACCUUGGCCUUACUGUCAGUGAAAUGGAAUUGUGUCUGUUAACUAGAAGAAACCCUCUCCUGGAACCUCUGUUAGGAGUGUGUGCCUGUGUUUUGUGCCUAUCGGUGGGCUUUGAAUAGUGUGUCAAGUAAUAGGCCACUGGCUGAGGCCAGCCAGAAGUGACAGAGUAUUGGGAUGCUGUAGAUGGUGUAGGAGGCGCUCUGAGCAUUGGGAGCCCGCUUUUCUCUGCCCUUAGCUUACUGCUGAUGUGCCGAACGGCUGUUAAGAGAGAAUGGUCAGGUGCGAGACGGCACGCAGCACACUUACUAGGACUUUCUGUCCCUGCGGUGUGCAGGUGGAGUGUGUAAACAUGACGGCGAGUGUGGUAAUGCACCCUCCAGCCCCCGAGCUCUUGCUCUGCUCCACAGAGAGGCCCGUGUGCUGAGCAUCUGGCCGGAGUGCGAGGCGAGUCCUGCCAAGAGCUUAGCAAGCGUCCUUGACUUCCCAUGCUAAGAAACGGCUCUUGAUGCACUCCAUGUUGCAAUGUCGCCCGGGUGUGGCCAAAACCCCCUAGAGUUGUGUUGUAGGACUUAGGGAAUGGUUGUGAAAGGGAUCUGCCUUCCUUACUUAUGAGAGAACCCAAACUGUCCACCAGAAAUGUCCUGGUGAAAUGGACGUGGCUCCUGUCCUGGAGGUUCUCCUUGCUGUGUUCUGAGUAGCUGAGAUGGUGUAACCCAGCUUGCUUUCUCCUGUGGUGAGUGGUUCAGAGGGCAGGGCUGGCGGCUCCUCGGUCUCUUCAGGUCCCUGCAGUUUGGGAAGGUGGAGCUCUCAAGAGCCAACUUAGUCUGUCUGUGCAGACAGAGAAGGUUUUGUUUGCACCUUGUGGGCCUGCUUGAGACAUGUUUGGAAAUGAAUGCACCAGCGCUGGGCGAGCCUUUGUUUUGAACAGAGCAGACUAGAAAUGAAGCCCACAGCAUAACCUGAUGCCAUUUUCUGACUCAGGGCAUGGACUGUGAGGGAGACAGGCUAGAGAAGGGAGGAGACAUUGAUGAGUCUCGUUACCACAACUCACAGGUUUCACAGGCCUGUUCAGAAAUGCCUAGAGCUCAGUACUGUUCCUGGCUACCUGUUAGCCAGCCUUACUGUUUACCAGAGAACUCUAUCAAGUGCUCCAACUGUAGCUGCCAGUGCGUGUCCUCUCAAUCCCCGGCGACAGUCAGAUCUGCUGUUAGCCACACUUUGAUUUCCCUGUAGAAUAACCCUAUGUUUUGUAGAUCGAGUAAGUCAGAGUUUACAGUGCACAGGGAUCCUUCAUUCAGUGUUCAUGUUCUGCAUAUCCUGUGGCAGGCUUGGUGAGCAGACAGGUCUCUAUAGCAUCAGACAGAGGUGCAUGACCACCCACCCCACAUGUGCUGUGACUGAGUUGAGUUGGUGUUGUGUGCACUGUAGUUUGCCAUAGCUUACCACAAGGGCCUCCAGAGCCUUAGGGGCUGAAUUCCUUACCCUGCCCUGCCUGAGGCUUUAGGUGACCUGGAAAAUGUUCUUUUCAGGCUGUCAGGGUCCCCCUCUUCUUCACACACCCACCCACGAACACUGUUAGCUCUUGAAUGCUUUACUCCACGGACAAGAAACGUCCUUUGAUUUCUACUGUUUACAAACAAAGCUCUCCCAGUCUUGUUGUCUCCCAAGUGUACUGGGCAAAACUGACCAUGGCUCCUCAAGCAGUGUUUGGUGUUGCCUCUCUGCAGGUGACCAAGCCUGUUCCUCAUUUUGUACAUUUCCCUCUGUUCUCUGUUCACCCGGGGGCAAGACAGCUGGAACGGAGGCAUUUUUUUUUUAAACUUGGCCUGCCUGCAAAGCUCCGGAAGCUGUGCCCAGCUUUCUGUUCUCUGCCGCAGCUCCCAGACAGCAGGAGAAGCUGGGUCACGCAGAGGCAGAGAGGAAGUGUCUAAUUAGGAUUGUGUGGCCCGGGUUUUGUUGCAUACCACAGAUUGUCUAUGUAUCAUGUAGUGCUCCCCCCUCUUGGUGCUAUUUCAUUCCUGAUGUUAGUAAAAGAAUGACAAGAAACGAUUCAUGUGUAGCCAACUGAUUGUGACGUCUCGUGGUCUGUGCUUGCUCAGAAAGCAAACCAACAGGUUCCCCCCACCCCCCAGUUAUAAAUAAAUGCUAAAGACGAACACC
This 2824-nucleotide long non-coding RNA is filed under the name Rattus norvegicus (Norway rat). RNAcentral describes it as "long non-coding RNA NONRATT000988". The record is from RNAcentral. Lineage: Eukaryota; Metazoa; Chordata; Mammalia; Rodentia; Muridae.